AGUGAACGCUGGCGGUAGGCCUAACACAUGCAAGUCGAACGGCAGCACAGUAAGAGCUUGCUCUUACGGGUGGCGAGUGGCGGACGGGUGAGGAAUACAUCGGAAUCUACUUUUUCGUGGGGGAUCACGUAGGGAAACUUACGCUAAUACCGCAUACGACCUACGGGUGAAAGCAGGGGAUCUUCGGACCUUGCGCGAUUGAAUGAGCCGAUGUCGGAUUAGCUAGUUGGCGGGGUAAAGGCCCACCAAGGCGACGAUCCGUAGCUGGUCUGAGAGGAUGAUCAGCCACACUGGAACUGAGACACGGUCCAGACUCCUACGAGAGGCAGCAGUGGGGAAUAUUGGACAAUGGGCGCAAGCCUGAUCCAGCCAUACCGCGUGUGUGAAGAAGGCCUUCGGGUUGUAAAGCCCUUUUUUUGGGGAAGAAAAGCAGCAGGUUAAUACCCCGCUGUUCUGACGGUACCCAAAGAAUAAGCACCGGCUAACUUCGUG
Molecule: ribosomal RNA, 492 nt
Filed under: uncultured bacterium
Lineage: Bacteria
Description: partial 16S ribosomal RNA
Rfam family: Bacterial small subunit ribosomal RNA
Source: RNAcentral